This 222-nucleotide unclassified non-coding RNA is filed under the name uncultured Actinomycetes bacterium. Its description in RNAcentral is "uncultured actinobacterium contains 16S-23S intergenic spacer region". The record is from RNAcentral. Lineage: Bacteria; Bacillati; Actinomycetota; Actinomycetes.
UCCGAGUUGACCCCGGCAGUCUCCCAUGAGUCCCCGGCAUAACCCGCUGGCAACAUGGAACGAGGGUUGCGCUCGUUGCGGGACUUAACCCAAUAUCUCACGACACGAGCUGACGACAGCCAUGCACCACCUGCACACCAGCCACAAGGGAACGCCUAUCUCUAGACGCGUCUGGUGCAUGUCAAACCCAGGUAAGGUGGGGAUGACGUGAGCCUAUCGAGA